Molecule: ribosomal RNA, 434 nt
Filed under: uncultured bacterium
Lineage: Bacteria
Description: bacterial SSU rRNA
Rfam family: Bacterial small subunit ribosomal RNA
Source: RNAcentral
UGAGGAAUAUUGGUCAAUGGGCGAGAGCCUGAACCAGCCAAGCCGCGUGAGGGAAGAAGGCCCUAUGGGUCGUAAACCUCUUUUGUCAGGGAACAAAAGCGAGUAUGUAUACUGGUCUGAGUGUACCUGAAGAAAAAGCAUCGGCUAACUCCGUGCCAGCAGCCGCGGUAAUACGGAGGAUGCGAGCGUUAUCCGGAUUUAUUGGGUUUAAAGGGUGCGUAGGCGGCGGUGCAAGUCAGCGGUAAAAGCCCGGGGGCUCAACCCCGGCGAGCCGUUGAAACUGCAGUGCUAGAGAAGGCGAGAGGUACGCGGAAUGCGCAGUGUAGCGGUGAAAUGCUUAGAUAUUGCGCAGAACUCCGAUUGCGAAGGCAGCGUACUGGCGCCUGACUGACGCUGAGGCACGAAAGCGUGGGGAUCGAACAGGAUUAGAUACC